UGCAAGUCGAACGAACUCUUCGGAGUUAGUGGCGGACGGGUGAGUAACACGUGGGAACGUGCCUUUAGGUUCGGAAUAACUCAGGGAAACUUGUGCUAAUACCGAAUGUGCCCUUCGGGGGAAAGAUUUAUCGCCUUUAGAGCGGCCCGCGUCUGAUUAGCUAGUUGGUGAGGUAAAGGCUCACCAAGGCGACGAUCAGUAGCUGGUCUGAGAGGAUGAUCAGCCACAUUGGGACUGAGACACGGCCCAAACUCCUACGGGAGGCAGCAGUGGGGAAUCUUGCGCAAUGGGCGAAAGCCUGACGCAGCCAUGCCGCGUGAAUGAUGAAGGUCUUAGGAUUGUAAAAUUCUUUCAGUAGGGACGAUAAUGACGGUACCUACAGAAGAAGCCCCGGCUAACUUCGUGCCAGCAGCCGCGGUAAUACGAAGGGGGCUAGCGUUGCUCGGAAUUACUGGGCGUAAAGGGAGCGUAGGCGGACAUUUAAGUCAGGGGUGAAAUCCCGGGGCUCAACCUCGGAAUUGCCUUUGAUACUGGGUGUCUUGAGUGUGAGAGAGGUAUGUGGAACUCCGAGUGUAGAGGUGAAAUUCGUAGAUAUUCGGAAGAACACCAGUGGCGAAGGCGACAUACUGGCUCAUU
This 636-nucleotide ribosomal RNA is filed under the name bacterium enrichment culture clone MIZ1-1-I-01. RNAcentral describes it as "bacterial SSU rRNA". It matches the Rfam family "Bacterial small subunit ribosomal RNA", at positions 56 to 738 of the family's 1533-position model. The record is from RNAcentral.